This 523-nucleotide ribosomal RNA is filed under the name uncultured Burkholderia sp. RNAcentral's name for it is "bacterial SSU rRNA". It matches the Rfam family "Bacterial small subunit ribosomal RNA", at positions 1 to 523 of the family's 1533-position model. Lineage: Bacteria; Pseudomonadati; Pseudomonadota; Betaproteobacteria; Burkholderiales; Burkholderiaceae. The record is from RNAcentral.
UAGAGUUUGAUCCUGGCUCAGAUUGAACGCUGGCGGCAUGCCUUACACAUGCAAGUCGAACGGCAGCACGGGUGCUUGCACCUGGUGGCGAGUGGCGAACGGGUGAGUAAUACAUCGGAACAUGUCCUGUAGUGGGGGAUAGCCCGGCGAAAGCCGGAUUAAUACCGCAUACGAUCUACGGAUGAAAGCGGGGGACCUUCGGGCCUCGCGCUAUAGGGUUGGCCGAUGGCUGAUUAGCUAGUUGGUGGGGUAAAGGCCUACCAAGGCGACGAUCAGUAGCUGGUCUGAGAGGACGACCAGCCACACUGGGACUGAGACACGGCCCAGACUCCUACGGGAGGCAGCAGUGGGGAAUUUUGGACAAUGGGCGAAAGCCUGAUCCAGCAAUGCCGCGUGUGUGAAGAAGGCCUUCGGGUUGUAAAGCACUUUUGUCCGGAAAGAAAUCCUUGGCUCUAAUACAGUCGGGGGAUGACGGUACCGGAAGAAUAAGCACCGGCUAACUACGUGCCAGCAGCCGCGGUAA